Molecule: long non-coding RNA, 503 nt
Organism: Leptidea sinapis
Lineage: Eukaryota; Metazoa; Arthropoda; Insecta; Lepidoptera; Pieridae
Exons: 2
Source: RefSeq, a predicted model, not a curated record
GUAGCUAGUGAAAUUACUGGGCAAAUGAGACUUAACAUCUUAUGUCUCAAGCGCAAUUGUAGUGCCGCUGAGAAUUUUUGGGUUUUUUAAGAAUGCUGAGCGGCACUGCAUUGUAAUGGACAGGGCGUAUCAAUUACCAUCAGCUGAACGUCCUAUAUGUAUGGGGGGCCUACCAACACUGCGUUUUCCGAUACGUGGUCGCAAUUCAAGACUUUACUGCCCCAACGGCCAUCUGUCCUUCGAGCUCUGUGCACUGCCCGAUGCCACUUCAGUUUCGCAAUAAUUUGGACUGUGUCGACUUUGGUUAAAAAUGGCAUAAAAAGGCAUUUAUUUUCUCAAAAUGUAUCCCAAUAGAAUUCUUUUUGAUGUCAUUUGAAACAUUACCACCGCUUCGGAAACAAAUGACGCUCCGAGAGAAGAAACGGCGCAAGGAUCUCUGCCAGCAUUCCUUUUUUGUGCUCUUUAAAAAAAAAAAAAAAAAUCUCCUAUGGAUUCGGUUCUCC